This 253-nucleotide ribosomal RNA is filed under the name uncultured bacterium. RNAcentral describes it as "partial 16S ribosomal RNA". It matches the Rfam family "Bacterial small subunit ribosomal RNA", at positions 524 to 776 of the family's 1533-position model. The record is from RNAcentral.
UACGAAGGGGGCUAGCGUUGUUCGGAAUUACUGGGCGUAAAGCGCACGUAGGCGGAUUUGUAAGUCAGGGGUGAAAUCCCGGGGCUCAACCUCGGAACUGCCUUUGAUACUGCAAGUCUUGAGUCCGGAAGGGGCGAGUGGAAUUCCUGGUGUAGCGGUGAAAUGCGCAGAUAUCAGGAGGAACACCAAUGGCGAAGGCAGCUCGCUGGGACGGUACUGACGCUGAGGCGCGAAAGCGUGGGGAGCAAACAGG